This 1152-nucleotide long non-coding RNA is filed under the name Marmota monax (woodchuck). The record is from RNAcentral. Lineage: Eukaryota; Metazoa; Chordata; Mammalia; Rodentia; Sciuridae.
GUAAGGAGUACAGAGAAUAUCUUGUACUUGUAAUUUCGAUUUUCCAAAGAAGACAUGUACAUCAAGACAAACAUUUGUCAAACGUCUUCUUUCUUUGUAUGUUUGCAAUUCUGCCAAAAGAGAACAAUACACAUUGCAAUUUGCUUGACUUAAUGAGACUGCUGUCUAAAAUUCCCACCAUAUUUUAGAAACUAUAAUACUAAUGCAGAUAUACAUUUGGGGCAGGACAAUAUUUAAGAAAUUAUAGAAAAAAUAUAAUUAUUAGUUGUGGAAUUCAGCUUGAUUUGUAUUGAAAGUUCCUGUGUGUUGCUAGAAUAUUUUAUACCUGUAAAUAAAUAAGCAUGAUAAAAUAAUCAAGGCUUUUUUUCCCAGGAUAUGGAAAAACUAUGUAUCACAAAUAAUGUUUUUGAUUUGGACUUUUGGAGUUUAUAGUUUUGUUUUCCUGGAAUAUAGACUUUUGAAUUAUACUUUGUAAAAAAUAAUCUAUUUAAGAAAAUCUGUCAUUUAAUAGACAUUUUAAGAGAUGUUUUAAACACUAGUAUUUUCUUGAAAAAUCUUUUUUAAAGCUGAAACAUUCAAAAGAAAACCUGGACUAAACCUUUCAAUUUUAAAAGGAGGGGUAUUUUUUGGAAAUAUCAUCUUAAAGCAGUUUUGUAUCAGUAUUUUCAGCAUUGUUAUAAUAUUAUUUGUAAUACUCAGUGUAACUCAGGCCUGGAGAAGGUGUAAGCCCACUGUGUUAAUGUAGAUCAGUAACUGUAAGACAGGGGUCUUUUCUAAGUUCCUCUUGUGUAGAUAAUAUUCUGUCAUAAUAAUGGCAUGUGGGCAUUCUUUCAGCAAACUGAAAUCUUUGUACUAAAAUCUCUAGUUUUCUAAGACAGUUCCAUGUAUAAAAAUGAUUUAUACAUCUCUCCAAGGCAGUACAUAUCCAAAGACAUGACACCAGGGGAAAAAGUGCUUGUUUUUCUGAUGAAGCAGUGGUCUUGCCUUUUCCUUCUUCUUUCUUUUGUGCAUGUAUAUGUGUAGAUAACCCUAAGUAACCCUGUAAAAUUUCUGCUGCAAACUGUCUCUUCGAAACCCAGAAUGUGUUUUAAAGGACAAUUAUGAAGAGACCUCCCUUGAAGGAAAGCUGUUUCUACCUGAAAUAAACUAUAC